UCCAGACUGUGCACCCUCACACACCUGAAAUUGGCGCAGCGUAAAUGAUAGAUCUGUUUCACCUUGGAUCUCCCCGUGUCUUGUCUCCUACAGGAACACACCCUCUGUCGUUGUUGCCCAAGGUGAUGUCAUGUUCAUUCUAAAGGCCGCGGUUCCAAGGGGACUACACCACAAGAAGAUGCCUUCAGAAAGACCCAGAUUUCCUGCGGUCUCAGGUAGGCGGCAGGGAGCAAGAGAACAAGGAAAGGACCCGCCACCACUCUCCCCAAGAUGGAUGCUGCAUGAUAUCAACGAGGCAGGCAAAGGAAGCAGUGUAACUUUUUCCCAUUUUACGGAUGAAGAAACCGAAAUUCAAGAGAUUUGCUCAAGUUCACACAGCUGUUUAGGGUCAGCCAAGUCCAAGUUAAACAACAUAAUGUAAAUAUGUACCCAAAUGCUAAGCGCCCUCCCUUCCUCCCUCUCUCCUGAGUUUCGGGUUGAACUACUCAGCUCACGCAAGCCAAAAUAUUUGAAGAUCCUGGCCCAUCCAUCCCAACCAGGCACAGCAGUGACAGCUGCCCCAUGUACCAGACCUGACCGAGGGAUGGCGAGGCUGCAGGGAGGGGCUUCCCGCUCUGAGGCCCCGCCUUCUGGUGGCCCCAGCAGGAAAGCGCCGGCGGCAACCGGUCGCCGUAGCCGGACUGUGGAAAUCCCCAGCCCCUUUGCUCGUCUCUACAGGCCCAGGGCUCAAACUGCGCCUCUGGGGUUCCUGGCGCGCGGCGAUCAGGGGCCAUCGAAAGGCCAGAGGAGGGCCCAACGCAGACGUUUGUUUUCAUCUUCUCCAAGGCGGAUCUCGCAGGCCAGAGAAGUGGGUCCCGCUUACCGCGGGGCUGUUACCAAAAAAGGCCUUUCUCUCGCUGGAGCGCUUGGCGGCGCGCGUUGCAGCAGGGUGACGCGAGGUUCAGCCCGGGCCUCCUUGAAGGUUGAGCCAGCUGACUGCAGGGCUGCCAGGCCAAGAGCCACCCCCCCCCCCCCCCCCCGCAACACACACACACACCCGCGCCCCGUCUCUGCCACAAAACGGCGGGGGCAGGAGAGAGAGUGCAGGGAGCUUCGAAGUGCGCGCCUGGCGACCUUCUCACCACUAGCAACCUUGGGCUAUGGUGCUCCGGCAAGGCCAGGUGGAAAGCUGACCUUUUGCUCCAGUUUAGAGCAGGGUUCUCUGAGGAUGCCAGCCCAGAUGGCAAGCUGGGUGGGGAAAGCGACAGUAGGAAGGAACUUUGGGAAGAUGAUGCCGCCGUUUGGCGCCCGGCUCUGCUAGUCUCUGCUUGUCUCCCAGACCCCAUGGACAGAGUUCUUUGAGUCUCUACACCUGGCAGUUUACGUUGAGGCUCCUCCACCUCCACCACCCCCCUCCCAAAUCCUUUCCAGUUCCUUUCCACCGUUGUCAUAGUUUUGUUGCACGGGACUCUUCUUCAGGGAGAAAACCCACCUCCAGAACACUGGAGUUCUAGCCUCUCACCGUCUCUCACACAUCCCCAAACGGCCAUCUCAGGCAACAAGAGAUACCACAAAUGAUGUUGAUUCUUUUUUUUGGUGGGGGGUGGGGGGGCGGUUUGGAGAGAGCUGUGUUUUAUAAAUGAAAGGAUUAUGAGUCUGUAAUGGAAGUCUGUUUAAAUACACGUUGAUUUCUAACUCAGUGUGUCUGAAGGCACCCCAGCAUGUAUGUGUGUAUAUAUAUCUCCUUUAGUAACAGUGAAGACAGAGACAGACAGGGAGAUGGAGACAUAUGUGUGUGCAUACCAAACAUAACACCAUGUCAUAGAAUCCAACUUGCUUUCUCUAGCAGCCUGGCUGGAGGGUUGCGGCUAAGUUGCUAUUUCCCUAAUAUUUUUGGUUUAAUAAAGGGAAGGGCUGAAUAAAUAUUAAUGUAAAGAAAUGGGUCACCCAACCGAGCCAAAGCUAAGGAGCCCCAGGCUGGCGGGGAUGUCAAACCAUUUCCCACCCCUAUGUUUUGACUCACUCCAGGGUAGCGGUAGUGUGGGGAGGGCUGAAGUCUGGGAGAGUGAGGCAAUGCUCCCCAAGCAACUCUUUGCAGAGGAAUCACUGCAAAGUGCCAGCAGGCCAGAGAAAGUUUAUUAUUGCUCUAGAGUGCACAGUGAGCUCACUGUUUUGCAAAAACAGAAAUCUGGCUGCUUUGAGAUGAAAGAGGGGCUCCCUAGGGCUCCUCCUCCUCUUCUGUCCUUAAAAACUCGCCUUUCCUUUGCACUCAGGGGCCCCAGAAUGAGUGGGAGAUUGGGGCUCUGGGGAGUGUUGGAUAGGGGAACAGGCUCUGGAAGUCAAGUGUCAAAAUAAAAGUAAGUAUCUCUUGUUGCUUCCACUGAACUUUAUUGCAAUUACUAGUAAUAAGAGUGAUAAUAGUGAUCCUCACAAUUUAUGCAGUUUACUAAGUACUGUCACAUGUCAACCAGCAAUAGUACCAACACUAGUAUCAAUACUAAUAAUAACUAACACUAACUGUGAGUCCAACACUGCUCUCCAUUCUGUAUGGUGUAUUUAAGUUACAGUCUGGUAGUGACAGAUCUACAACUUCUGUAUAUAGAACUCAGUGGUACAAAUGCGCUUGGAAGGGGAGGCUGGGGGUUGGUUAUGAAGGUGUAUUGGCGUAGUACUUACGUAAGAUUGUAUGUAACACCAAAUCAACUGGGGCUGAUGGGAAUUUUGAGCACCCCAAACCACCUCUGCAAGCCUGAGCUUGUCAAAGACACCUCAAAUCAGAUUUACUGGAUUCAAAUCCCAGCCCCAUCACUAAUGGCUGUAGGCAAGUUAUAUAGCCUCUUUACUUUCCUGGUUUGUAAAAUGGAGGUAAAAGAAUCUACCCUGUAGAUAAUAUUAAGGGUUUAAUACUGUAAUAGGCCGGGCACGGUGGGUCAUGCCUGUAAUCCCAGCACUUUGGGAGGCUGAGGCGGGAGGAUCACCUGAGGUCAGCAGUUCGAGACCAGCCUGGCCAACAUGGGGAAAGUCCGUCUCUACUAAAAAUACAAAAAUGAGCUGGGUGUGGUGGCGGGCGCCUGUAUCCCCAGGUACUUGGGAGACUGAGGCAGGAGAAUUGCUUGAACCUGGGAGGUGGAGGUUGCAGUGAGCUGAGAUUGCGUCACUGUACUCCAGCCUGGGUGACAGAGUGGACUCUGUCUCAAAACAACAACAAAAUACUAUAGAUAAUAUCCCCUUAAUAAUGUAGAUAAUAUUAAGGGUGAUGCAAGUAAGCCACCUAGUUUACUAAGGUCCCACGGCAAGUCUAAGUAAGCGUUAUCUCUUAUUAUGACAAGAAACAAAUUGAGGCCGGGUGAGGUGGCUCAUGCCUGUAAUCCCAACACUUUGGGAGGCCAAGGUGGGUGCAUCACUUGGGCCCAGGAGUUUGAGACCAGCCUGGGCAACACGGCAAAACCCCAUCCCUUUCCAAAAAUACAAAAAAAUUGGCCAGGUGUAAUGGCACAUGCCUGUAGUCCCAGCUACUAGGGAGGCUGAGGUGGGAGGAUUACUUGAGCCUGGGAGGUCAGGCUGCUGCCAGCCGCGAGUGUGCCACUGUACUCCAGCCUGGGCAACAGAACAAGAUCCUAUCUCAAAAAAACAAAAAACCGAAGUUGAAAUCUCAAACAACCCUAAUAACCUGGGAGCUAUCAUUCCAUUCUCUUUUCCAUGGAAAAGAGAGAUUUUGUGGGUAACUAGCUUAAGGGUGGAGAGCCAGUUAGUGAUGGAGAGGAAAUUUCAAUCUGGUGGGCCAGACUUCAGAAUCCGAAAUCCCAUUAUAUUGCUUUCCCUUCUCCAGCCUUCCCUGGGAUUAUCUCAGUUUUCAUGAAAUUAAAAAAAAAAAAAGCAAACCCAAUAAUUAGAAUAAUCAAUAGAAAUGCCCCAACUAGAGCUAUGACCAACAUAUCCAUCGUGCCAUAAGCAAUACUGAUGAGCAGUGAUCUUGUAAGGCAGAAGAAAUCACGGCCUUGGCCGGGCGUGGUGGUUCAUGCUUGUAAUCCCAGCACUUUGGAAGGCCGAGGCGGGAGGAUCACCUGA
Molecule: RNA transcript, 4047 nt
Organism: Pan troglodytes (chimpanzee)
Lineage: Eukaryota; Metazoa; Chordata; Mammalia; Primates; Hominidae
Exons: 3
Source: RefSeq, a predicted model, not a curated record